Molecule: small RNA, 76 nt
Filed under: Janthinobacterium sp. AD80
Lineage: Bacteria; Pseudomonadati; Pseudomonadota; Betaproteobacteria; Burkholderiales; Oxalobacteraceae
Description: P9
Source: RNAcentral
GCCAUUAUUGCCGCCAUUUCAACGCUGGUGGCUUAGCAGGAUAGUCGUUGCCAAAGCCGCCUGAGAGGCGGCUUUG